GAGAAGUCUCCCAGUGAGUUUUUUCACCCUUACUGUUCUGUAGCUAUCACUCUUUAACCUCCAAAGUCUUCCCUGUGAUACUUUCAGGUUUUAAACUGCACUGAAUGCCUCUGGUAUGGUGUAAAAAUGAUGGUAUCUGUGGCUAAUGGGUGUCAUGUUCAUGGUCGUAUAUGUACAGAGGGAAAUUUAUGUUCAAACAUUUGUACUACGACUACGACUGUUUGGUAUUCCACUAUUGCUUGCUCUACAAGACAACAUAAGGGAAAAUCAUAGAAUCAUAGAAUGGCUUGGGUUGAAAAGGACCUAAGAGGUCAUCUAUAUGGUAUGAAUUAGGUCAGCAGUUGCUCCACAACAUAUCUCAUCAUGUGGAGGGACAUGAAUUUGUGGGGAGUUGGCUCAGGGCAGCCACUGCUUGUGUUGAUUGGCAGGGGGUGAGACCUAGUGAUGGUGGUGGGGCUUUGAUUGGUGGCAACUGUAUUGUAAGCUGGAUAUUGGUUGGCAGGUGGUGAGUGAAUUUAAGUUGCCCCAGAAGUAAUGCCUCUUAUUUAUUUCCCUGGAGACUACAACAGAUACAAAGAGCACAAUAACAUCAUUUGAUAGAGAAAAUUAUCAGCUGCAAAACACUGUUUUUCAACAUAGCAGCCACCACUAGUGAUGCAAUUUUUGCCAGUGCUGAACAAGAGCCUGCCAACCAUGCUCAUAAGAAUCUGUAUGGCCAUCCAGUAUGCAGCAUGAAUUACAUAUGACUGUCACCACUGCUGAAACGCAUCACCCACCACCUCACUGCACUGACACUCACUGUGAGUGAAUGGCUGUGCAGUGCUUACCUGCCUACCAGCUUACACCACAGCAAUAUGGAAAGGAGAUCAUAGAAUCGUAGAAUGGCCUGGGCUGAAAAGGACCACAGUGAUCAUCUAGUUUCAACCCCCCUACUGUGUGCAGGAUUGCCAACCACCAGACCAGGCUGCCCAGAGCCACAUCCAGCCUGGCCUUGAAUGCCUCCAGGGAUGGGG
Gallus gallus (chicken) is the source of this 1013-nucleotide long non-coding RNA. The record is from Ensembl. NCBI's taxonomy places the organism in Eukaryota, Metazoa, Chordata, Aves, Galliformes, Phasianidae.